RNAcentral lists this unclassified non-coding RNA (353 nucleotides) under soil metagenome. Its description in RNAcentral is "partial contains 5.8S ribosomal RNA, internal transcribed spacer 2, and large subunit ribosomal RNA". The stretch from base 1 to 121 matches the Rfam family "5.8S ribosomal RNA", at positions 35 to 154 of the family's 154-position model. The record is from RNAcentral.
GAUGAAGAACGCAGCGAAAUGCGAUAAGUAAUGCGAAUUGCAGAAUUUCCGUGAGUCAUCGAAUCUUUGAACGCACAUUGCGCCCGCUGGUACUCCGGCGGGCACGCCUGUCCGAGCGUCAUUUCAACCCUCAAGCCCUCCUUCGGGAUGGGCCUGGUGUUGGGGCUCGGCCGCCAUCUCCGGCGGCCGUCCCCUAAAUACAGUGGCGGUCACGUCGCGACUCCUUUGCGUAGUAGAAACACCUCGCUCCGGAUAGCAACGCGGUCCACGCCGUAAAAUCCCCAAUUUUCAAUGGUUGACCUCGGAUCAGGUGGGAAUACCCGCUGAACUUAAGCAUAUCAAUAAGCGGAGGA